CUCCUUCUUCUAUUGCAAGUAGAACAUAAUCCUCCAAAUACUUUGGCUUGACGCUUUGACGUUCUGAUCUUCUUAAAGUGGGCUGAGAUAUAUCUUCGGUGAUGUCAUCUUGAGCCGCGGGAAGGUCAUCUUCAUCUAUAGGCUCUGUAUCAGGACCAUGAUUCUCUCCGUCUUCAUCCUUAUUGCUUUCAUCUUGGUUACCGUGGUUUAUAGCAGUUUCUUGAAGCCUACGAUUCCCAUAUGUGCUCAUUGUAAGCGUGAAUUCCUCAUCAGGUCUCUGGUCUUUAGAGAUCUUACUCCAAUC
RNAcentral lists this long non-coding RNA (304 nucleotides) under Brassica napus (rape). RNAcentral's name for it is "long non-coding RNA (BNAP_LNC006660)". The record is from RNAcentral. Lineage: Eukaryota; Viridiplantae; Streptophyta; Magnoliopsida; Brassicales; Brassicaceae.